RNAcentral lists this ribosomal RNA (280 nucleotides) under uncultured eukaryote. RNAcentral describes it as "partial 18S ribosomal RNA". It matches the Rfam family "Eukaryotic small subunit ribosomal RNA", at positions 6 to 285 of the family's 1831-position model. The record is from RNAcentral.
GGUUGAUCCUGCCAGUAGUCAUAUGCUUGUCUCAAAGAUUAAGCCAUGCAUGUCUAAGUAUAAACAAAUUUUUACUGUGAAACUGCGAAUGGCUCAUUAAAUCAGUUAUAGUUUAUUUGAUGGUACCUUGCUACAUGGAUAACUGUGGUAAUUCUAGAGCUAAUACAUGCUUAAAAGCCCCAACUUCUGGAAGGGGUGUAUUUAUUAGAUAAAAAACCAACGUGGGAAACCACUCCUUUGGUGAUUCAUAAUAACUUCUCGAAUCGCAUGGCCUUGUGCC